This is a long non-coding RNA of Acanthochromis polyacanthus (spiny chromis), 432 nucleotides long. RefSeq lists it as uncharacterized. The record is from RefSeq and is a predicted model, not a curated record. Lineage: Eukaryota; Metazoa; Chordata; Actinopteri; Pomacentridae. The transcript has 3 exons.
UGAGAUUCCAUAAAGUGCUGACCUUUCCCUUCUUCUCCUUCAGUCCAGGAGGCAUCAGCAUCGGGGUCAGAUGAGAGGCGAAGAGCCGAGGAGAAGGUCGCAGGGCGUAAUCUGGUCGAUCCUCUCUGUAUUCCAGCCAGGGCAUCUGCUCCAGGUUGUUUGGAUAUUCAUUAAGACCCCCGGCCAACUCACAGAUGGAGAUGAUGAUCUGCUGAGUCCAGAUGGUGCCUGUGAGUAAAGCAGGUUCCAGAUGUCCCUCACUGCAGCAAUGUCUCCAGUUCCUCCUGCUGUGUUCUGAAACCGUUCCCAGUUCAGCUGAUUUGCCAGCACUUCCACAUUCUGAAGUUUGGGAAGGAAGAAGACGUUUGCGUCUCUUUUAAACUCCAGGAGGAGAGGGCAGAUCUGCUGUGCAGCACCGAUGAUGACCUGAAC